RNAcentral lists this ribosomal RNA (803 nucleotides) under Vreelandella aquamarina. RNAcentral's name for it is "bacterial SSU rRNA". It matches the Rfam family "Bacterial small subunit ribosomal RNA", at positions 527 to 1334 of the family's 1533-position model. The record is from RNAcentral. Lineage: Bacteria; Pseudomonadati; Pseudomonadota; Gammaproteobacteria; Oceanospirillales; Halomonadaceae.
GGAGGGUGCAAGCGUUAAUCGGAAUUACUGGGCGUAAAGCGCGCGUAGGUGGCUUGAUAAGCCGGUUGUGAAAGCCCCGGGCUCAACCUGGGAACGGGCAUGGAACUGUAGCUAGAGUGCAGGAGGAAGGUAGAAUUCCCGGUGUAGCGGUGAAAUGCGUAGAGAUCGGGAGGAAUACCAGUGGCGAAGGCGGCCUUCUGGACUGACACUGACACUGAGGUGCGAAAGCGUGGGUAGCAAACAGGAUUAGAUACCCUGGUAGUCCACGCCGUAAACGAUGUCGACCAGCCGUUGGGUGCCUAGCGCACUUUGUGGCGAAGUUAACGCGAUAAGUCGACCGCCUGGGGAGUACGGCCGCAAGGUUAAAACUCAAAUGAAUUGACGGGGGCCCGCACAAGCGGUGGAGCAUGUGGUAUAAUUCGAUGCAACGCGAAGAACCUUACCUACUCUUGACAUCCUGCGAAUUCGGUAGAGAUACCUUAGUGCCUUCGGGAACGCAGAGACAGGUGCUGCAUGGCUGUCGUCAGCUCGUGUUGUGAAAUGUUGGGUUAAGUCCCGUAACGAGCGCAACCCUUGUCCUUAUUUGCCAGCGCGUAAUGGCGGGAACUCUAAGGAGACUGCCGGUGACAAACCGGAGGAAGGUGGGGACGACGUCAAGUCAUCAUGGCCCUUACGAGUAGGGCUACACACGUGCUACAAUGGUCGGUACAAAGGGUUGCGAGCUCGCGAGAGUCAGCCAAUCCCGAAAAGCCGAUCUCAGUCCGGAUCGGAGUCUGCAACUCGACUCCGUGAAGUCGGAAUCG